Molecule: unclassified non-coding RNA, 214 nt
Filed under: Hevea brasiliensis (rubber tree)
Lineage: Eukaryota; Viridiplantae; Streptophyta; Magnoliopsida; Malpighiales; Euphorbiaceae
Source: RNAcentral
AAAAGAGGACCAAAAGAGAGCGGAUAUUGGAAAAAAGGAAAAGACAAAACAGACAGCCUAAAUGAAGAAUACAGGAGAAUGGAGAGAGGUAGAAAGCCUAGUUGGGGCGGCAAAAUCUUCCAUUUUUUCUUUUCUUUUUUUUUUUAGGUAUAAUUUUUUUUAUUUUAUUGAGUGCUAUUUUCAAUUGAAAUGGCCCAGUAGCCAUUUAGUCCUU